UCAAGAGUACGUGAAACCGUUCAGGGGUAAACCUGAGAAACCCGAAAGAUCGAACGGGGAGAUUCAUCGUCAGCGCGGCAGACUCGGCGCGUGUUCGCGAUGUCGCGGGUCUCGCGGCCCGCGGCACGCGUCUCGCGCUCGACGUUCGGUCGCGUCGGCGUGCACUUCUCCCCUGGUAGGACGUCGCGACCCGUUGAGCGUCGGUCUACGGCACGGGGUGGGAGUCCGUCGGCGUUGGGGCGCCCUCUCGGGGGUGUCGCGCGUCGCGCGGACCACCCCUCACGGUGCCCGGUCGGCUGCUCGACGGUACGCCGAAUUUUUUUAACGGACGGUAUAGGGCCGCAGUCGUUCGCGAGUGCGUCCAGCCCGUCGCAAGCGCUGCCCGGUAGUCGGCGGAAACGGACCGUGCGCCGUCCGCUGGCACGGCGCGCUGUUGGUUCGACGGUGUCCUCGGACCGGCCAAGAACUGUAUACCGGUCGGCGACGCUAUUGCUUUGGGUACUUUCAGGACCCGUCUUGAAA
This 522-nucleotide ribosomal RNA is filed under the name Aulacus sp. DERV043. RNAcentral describes it as "eukaryotic LSU rRNA". The record is from RNAcentral. Lineage: Eukaryota; Metazoa; Arthropoda; Insecta; Hymenoptera; Aulacidae.